AAAAAGACAGGCCGGAGUUUGAGAUCUACUGCCAACCUCCCUUGCAGAGUUAGGGAACAUUUUACUUGGGGAAAAAAAGGUCUUCUCUUCCUGCAGAGAUCUGCGGCUGUAUCUUCCUGCAGAGCCUGAGCCCUGCCUGGCAGAGUAGGCAAAAAUGCAUCGUGCAUGUUAACCUGGGAAGGCUGUUUCUAGUACCUGAGCUUGAUCACAGAGAGUUCUCAGCUAUUUCUCUGCACAGAACUGCUGUGCCUCAGCCGUGACUCCACACCCGUCUCUGCAGCAUCUUUCAGAGCAGCCCGAUGGUUGUCUUCAUCUUCCUUCAAAAAAUCUUCUGAGACUUCACUUCAAAGACUCACGUACGUGGCAGAUUCAAUGACAGGUUCUCUGCUUUCAUGCCACAGCUUCUGAUUUUGCUCAGCAAUUCCCUAGCUUCUACAAGGCCAGCAGUGAGUCCCAUCAGUGGUACAGCUGUAGGUGCCACCAGCCCUGGUGACAAUGCCUCCACAAGACAACAGCUGCCAGCACAAGGGGCUGUAAACUCCUCCAAGAGCAUUUGAUUGCCAUCCUUCUGGCACUCACAAUUAUGGCCCAAAAAGGCAUUUAUGCCUCACUGGUCAAAGUAUAUAGUUUUCUCUUUGCUAUUCACCACUGCAGAUGGCAUGAAAAAGAUACCUUGGGUUGUUGCUUGCGAAGAUCAAGAAAAGCAAUUGCCAAAGGUCAGCAGCAUAUCACUUCUGGUGGGACUUCUGCAAGAAGAUGUGGCCGCAGAGAAAGGAAAAGAAAUAAAUGGAGAAUUUUCACAGAGGAGGCAUAGAUGGAGUCACACAUACAUGAAUACAUAUGUGCUAAUGCAGAAAAAGAUGGGCUGUAGAGUAACCUCUUCUCUUUCACCCAGGUAAAGCAAAACAACAGCGGCAAAUGUUGUGCGGAGCAUUCAUUUUCUGUCCAAAUGGUUUCGAUUCAGCAUUAUUUCAUCAAAAACCUGCAGCGUUCCUGAUGCGUAACCUGGGAAGCCCUUUGAAGACAAGACGUUUGGCCACUAGCAAGUAUCUCUCCUUUGCUGCUCUUUCAGAAAAAGGCAUCAAGGUGUGGAGCAAUCUUUGUCAGUGAUGGUGUGUACAGUGUGUGACUGCACAGGAACCGACUCCUCAGGCUUCCUGAAGGAACUGGAAUUAAAUUAGACUCUUCUCAGCCGGACCAGUUCUUUCACCCAGUUCAAGAUACAACUAUGGGCACAUCACAGAAAAAGUUGUAUGGAUGUGGAGACAAACAGCAGAAGUCAGGAUGCCUCACAUUGGCUGUCACGGCUGACAAAAUGUAUAUCAACUGAUGCUCCAGAGCUUCUAAAACAUAGCUUUCCAUUUCUUGUGGCAUGAACAGUCUGAAGAAAGAAGUGUCUCUGUGGUAGAAGUAGAAAUGCAAAAGAAAACUAGUUCCUGUCCCAAGAGCUGGAAGAAAAAGGAUCGGAGGAAGCAGUGGAAGGGACAGGGCACAAGAAAGAAAAGGAAAGAAACGCGGACGCUCGCACACAACUUCUUACAAUGGCUCCAGCAUGCCCUUCCAUUGGCAGGAAUCCUUUUGAUCAAAUCCUUGCCCUGGGCUGGAAGUGUUUUAAUGAGCAUACAGACAUCAUCUUUUUUUCCUAGGUCUAUUUUGUGUUCUUAAGGAUAGAUAAGUAAAGCGUGCACUUAAAUGAUCCUGUGAGUGCUUCUUAACUGUGCUCUAGAGGAAAGGCGUAGUGCUUGAAUGUGGAGGCUGAACAGCGCCAGCCUGAAGGACAAGGAAAAUAGCAGAGGAGGAAACUUGAGCUGAACUGAACUUGUUUUCUUUAACAUCUUAUUUUCUUUUGGAGAAGGAAUAAGCAGCAUGAAACACCUAGACAUCUGUUGGAUGAGGGGUGUUUUAUGGAGACUCCCAUGUCUUGCUGCUUUUCCCCAUAGAAUAUUCUGAAUUGAUAGGGACCCACAAGUAUCGUAGACUCAUAGAAUGGUUGAGUUGGAAGGGACCUUAAUGAUCAGUGAGCUCCAACUACCCUGCUGCAGGCUGGGUGCUCCCCACCAGCUCAGGCUGCCUAGAGCCCCAUUCGUGGCCUUGGGCACCUCCAGGGAUGGAGCACCCCCACUCUCUGGGCAGCAGAUGUAAGAAUUCUCAGAGGUGCAGUGGGAUUUCUGUCUUUGCAUGCUGGUAGGUGCCAGCCUGUGAGAGGCCCAGGGCUGAAGGAUGUAGAAGCACUGCCCACCAGUCCCUGCUCUCUCCACCAAAUGUGGGGCAGGUGUAGGACCCCAAAGGAGCUAUCCUUUAGUAGCAGCCCAAAUGUUGCUGAUUUGUGGAAAUGAGCCUGGGCUGCCAACCUGGCUCUUCUAGGAGCCCUGAAAGACUUUAAAUAUUAAAAAAUAAAGGUUGUACUUGAUAAAAGGCAAAUGUUUAGUUUGACACAUCUCAUUAUUCUAAGGAAUUUGCAGGAAAAGACAAACUUUGUUAGCCUGCCACAAAGUGCUAACAGUUUCUGGAAGUCAAUAAAGUGACCUGCUUGCCUUGGAAGGAAACAGUUAGCAGACUUCCAAUUUCCCAGCUAAGUUAUGAAGACGGGAUGCAGGAUGACGGAAGCCAAGAUGUCAAUGCAGAAGACACAGAGCCUUCCCCAGACCAGGAUGGCUAGAGUUGAAAGAACAUCAUGCCCUGACAGCAGCUGCCAAAAUCAAACCCUUUUUCAAUGUUUUUUUGAUGUGAAUCACAGGAGGUUUCACUACUGGGAUUUGCAUCCAAACAGGAAACCUGCAGAUUUCUUCAAAUCCUGGCGACAAAGGUACUGGUAGUGCCCUGAGCUGAUUGUUGCAGUGGUGUUAAUGAUGCUCUUUCAGUAGCUGAGUGCUGAUACUCCAUGACUUUGGCUCAGACAACAGAGAUAGCUGCCAUGAAUUGCCUUCUGGUAGUGCCCGUUCCUCUCAGUUGAUUACAAGAGGAUCCCCAAAUGCUAGAACAGGUCUUGAGCUGCCUGGAGAACAUGCUGUGGCACCCAACAUGGCCACACAGGAGGUCUCUGCCUGCCUCUGCUGUCCCUGAUGCCGAAGGAGGACAGGCUGUGCCGGACAAUUAUGUGAUCGUGACAAAGCCAAGUGACUCCCAGGGAUCAUCCACAAUGAUGAUGAGAGCCGGUGGGGAACACCAUGGAGGAGAAUGAAACAAUUACGAGCGUCUUUUAAAGGAAACUGUGAGAGAGAGGACUCCAGACGCUGCAGUGUGACAGCUAAACCAAGGAGCAUCGGAUGCAAUGGAAUUGCUCUACAAGCAACCUUGCCAAAGGCCCUUUUGCUGCACAAAGCUGGCUCUAUCUUUGUAUAUUGAGGGAACUAAAUCAAUGUUAAAUGCUUGGCUCUUUUCACAGGACAAUGACCAGGACCUAAGCUGCGUCCUUCCUAUUUGAUUGACACUUGAAACGUUGAGUUGGAAUCAGCCAGAGGCACUGCUACAAGCUUGAAGCCUCUGCUGGGGAUAACAACUGGUGACAUCUGCAGAAAGGCCGACAAAAGGCAGUUGAAAGCCGUGUUUGUUGCUUUCCCCUCUCAGAUCUCCUCUCUUUCAUGGAGCUCCUUACUUGCUUUAAUAUUAUGAUUCAGCACCUGGCUCUUUUGAACCUUGCUUUAAACUUCAAAAGGCGAGGUGGUAUUAACAAACAUGAAACGAAAAAGUGGCAGUAGUUUGAUUUACUGUUGUCGUCUUAUCAAGGGGGUUUUUUGUCACCAGCUGCCACUUUCUGUCAUCUUUGGAACCAUUAUCAUUUCUCUAAAAUCUAAAAGACUCCACUUAAUAACAGCUUUGAAUACAGGCAGGAUCAGUAACGUAUACAGUUCUGGGAUGACAGGGCCGUCAAAUGAAAAGAAAGAUGUUGCCAAAAAAAAAAAAAAAAUCCUUAAAGAAAAAAAAGCAAUAAAACAAAUAAAAGCCAUAGUACUUCUAAGUGACCUUGAUUUCAGAAUUAAACAAAUCAAGCACAAUUCCAUUGUUCUUUCUGGAUUAAUUCUGCACUUUCUUUGCAGUGUUUCUUUUUUGUUCUCAGGACUAAGGGAAAACAAAGCCAAGGCUUUCAGAAAACUGCUCGGCACACAACAAGCACUUGGUAUCACAUGAGUGCUGUAAGCUUCUCACUGUAAAACUGCCAGCGAUAAUUACUGGUCUCGUUUCCCCACCAUCCCAGCACAGCAACUCACAUUCAGGCUGAGCUGCCUUGCUAGUCAAAAAAACGGUCAACUCCCCUCUUAUAGUGCUGCUCCAUGCUUUCCUGCAGACCUUCCCAACAUGGUUGUGUUGGUCUUUGGGUGCCAAGGCAGAACCAAGUGCCUGGUCAAGUUUGCCCAUUGCAGCUGCUCACAUUAAGCCACAGGCAGUCAAAUAAACACAAUUUUCUAAAGUGCAAACUUACUGCACUUUCACACUUGUCGCCUUGCCAUUCUUUAUGGGAAACUCACUCUGAUCCCUUUGUUUUAUAAUGGUAUGCACAAUUAACUCAUCUGAAGGUAGAAAUUUCUCCCACUGCCUUCUAAACUCAUGGAUAAAUGAUGGACAAGCCAUCACAAGCAGUGACUUUUAAUUUGCACAAAUUGGAACCUGCACUUCUGUGCAUCUUAAUAGUUACUUCCACUUGUGCAAAAAUAGUGAAACCAACUGCAAAAACCAAAGGAUCCCCUCCACUCUCCCCAUUGAUGUGUCCUCCCUCCCCUCAGUUAUGUGUAAAUCCAGGCAAUGGGAUCCAACACGUGGUCUCCCAUUGGCCUCUUCCAGACCUGUUCAACCACAGGAAUCUGGGGGAGAUUUAUGCCAGAACAUCUUCCUAAAACAGUGAUGGAAACAACAAAAUGAAAAUAUUCAUAGAAGUGAAAGUGCUGAUGUCUUGACCAGUGAAAACACAGGAUUGCAAGACUCCAAAGUUGGUUGAUUUUUUAUGGACUGGGAUGCGACAAAACUCAUGAAAUUGAGAUGGAGAUUGCUAAAAAUACCUAUUAUCCUCUGACAGAAGCACUCACUGUAUAACGAUAAUGAGGUUUUUUCACAGAGCAUGUCCAGAUUUGAAAGUUUAGUCAUUUUAACAAGUGUUAAUUACUGCAUGCUAACCAGCAGAAGUGUGUGGGGGAGAUGUUUUAUAUUUAUUUGUUCCAGACUUGGAACAUAUUAGAAAGCAGGCUCCCUUCCAGGUUACUGUGGUAUGAAUGAAUACGUUACCCAACUACAAAUGAAAAAUACUGCAAGAAGAAAUAAGGACUUUUCCCCAGCAUAUUUCUUUGAAGAGAAGACCGAGAAUAUGUUUAGUCUAUUACAUCAAGUGGAAAUCUUAGCCUGACCCUACUAAAAGUGCGUGUAGCACACAGAUACCAGAGCAGUGUGUCUGUGGGAGGUACUUUUAGGUUUAUCCAUGAAAAAAUGAGAUAUUCUGAAAGAAAGAACAUACAUGGGAAAUUAUCGGUGCAGUUGGAUCAGUCUCCCUGCAUGCUUUAGUAUGAUGCUGGAGAAGAGGAGAAGACUGUGUAACACAUAUACAUUUAUAAAUAUAUAUAUAGUUUAUGUGUAAUUCACUUGUUGUAUGUUGAGUACAUCCAUUCAUA
Long non-coding RNA from Gallus gallus (chicken), 5597 nucleotides. The record is from Ensembl. NCBI's taxonomy places the organism in Eukaryota, Metazoa, Chordata, Aves, Galliformes, Phasianidae.